GACGAACGCUGGCGGCGUGCUUAACACAUGCAAGUCGAACGGAAAGGCCUGCUUUCCCUUGUGGGUUGCGGGUACUCGAGUGGCGAACGGGUGAGUAACACGUGAGUGAUCUGCCCCCAACUUGGGUAUAAGCCUGGGAAACUGGGUCUAAUUCCCGAUAGGACUGCAGGGUGGUGCCUGUGGUGGAAAACGAUUUUCUAGUGGUUGGGGAUGAGCUCGCGGCCUAUCAGCUUGUUGCUGGGGUAAUGGCCUACCAGGGCGGCGACAGGUAGCCGGCCUGGGAGGGUGGACGUGCGCAUUGGGACGGCGAUACGGCCCAGAAUCCUACGGGAGGCAGCAGUCGGGAAUAAUGCACAAGGGGCGGUGGCCUGAUGGAGGAACGCCGCGUGGGGAAUGCCGGCCUUCGGGUUGUAAACUCCUUGCGACCGCGAGGAAGCCACCUGGUUGGAAGGGUGGUGACGGUAGUGGUAGAAGAAGCACCGGCUAACUACGUG
Molecule: ribosomal RNA, 494 nt
Filed under: uncultured bacterium
Lineage: Bacteria
Description: partial 16S ribosomal RNA
Rfam family: Bacterial small subunit ribosomal RNA
Source: RNAcentral